AUUGGAGGAAAGUAGGGGAUCGCAAGACCUCGCGCGAAUGGAGCGGCCGAUGUUAGAUUAGGUAGCUGGUGAGGUAAAGGCUCACCAAGCCGACGAUCUGUAGCUGGUCUGAGAGGACGACCAGCCACACUGGGACUGAGACACGGCCCAGACUCCUACGGGAGGCAGCAGUGGGGAAUUUUGGACAAUGGGCGCAAGCCUGAUCCAGCCAUUCCGCGUGCAGGAUGAAGGCCCUCGGGUUGUAAACUGCUUUUGUACAGAACGAAAAGGUUUCUACUAAUACUAGGAGCUCAUGACGGUACUGUAAGAAUGAGCACCGGCUAACUACGUGCCAGCAGCCGCGGUAAUACGUAGGGUGCAAGCGUUAAUCGGAAUUACUGGGCGUAAAGCGCGCGCAGGCGGUUUUGUAAGUCGGAUGUGAAAUCCCCGGGCUCAACCUGGGAACU
RNAcentral lists this ribosomal RNA (446 nucleotides) under uncultured bacterium. RNAcentral's name for it is "bacterial SSU rRNA". It matches the Rfam family "Bacterial small subunit ribosomal RNA", at positions 195 to 622 of the family's 1533-position model. The record is from RNAcentral.